UACGGAGGGUGCAAGCGUUGUCCGGACUUAUUGGGUUUAAAGGGUGCGUAGGCGGCCUUUUAAGUCAGCGGUGAAAGUUUAUGGCUCAACCAUGAAAUUGCCGUUGAUACUGGGGGGCUUGAGUGUUGCUGGGGUACAUGGAAUUUAUGGUGUAGCGGCGAAAUGCAUAGAUACCAUAAGGAACACCGAUAGCGAAGGCACUGUACUUAUCAGCAACUGACGCUGAGGCACGAAAGCGCGGGUAGCGAACAGG
RNAcentral lists this unclassified non-coding RNA (253 nucleotides) under uncultured Cytophagales bacterium. Its description in RNAcentral is "contains 16S-23S intergenic spacer region". It matches the Rfam family "Bacterial small subunit ribosomal RNA", at positions 524 to 776 of the family's 1533-position model. The record is from RNAcentral. Lineage: Bacteria; Pseudomonadati; Bacteroidota; Sphingobacteriia; Sphingobacteriales.